UACAGAGGGUGCGAGCGUUGUCCGGAAUCAUUGGGCGUAAAGGGCGCGUAGGUGGCCCGGUCAGUCUUUGGUGAAAGCGCGGGGCUCAACCCUGCGUCGGCCAGGGAUACUGCCGCGGCUCGAGCACUGUAGAGGCAGGCGGAAUUCCGGGUGUAGCGGUGGAAUGCGUAGAGAUCCGGAAGAACACCGGUGGCGAAGGCGGCCUGCUGGGCAGUUUAGCUGACACUGAGGCGCGACAGCGUGGGGAGCAACAGG
RNAcentral lists this ribosomal RNA (255 nucleotides) under uncultured bacterium. RNAcentral's name for it is "partial 16S ribosomal RNA". It matches the Rfam family "Bacterial small subunit ribosomal RNA", at positions 524 to 775 of the family's 1533-position model. The record is from RNAcentral.